GGUUUACUUUUAUGGACUUAAAAUUUGAUUAUGGUUUUUGAAAGGUUAAAAUGUUAUUAUUUAGGUUUAAUUUAUCUUGUGGGCAAUGUUAAUUUACCCUGGCAAUUAGUUAUUUGUAUAAUAGUGGUUCCAGAAUAAUCGGCUAUGCUAUUAGAAUUUAUUCUUAAAUGGCAGUCUUAGCGUGAUUUUGUUUUUUUUUUCUUGAUGAAUUUUAGGUGGAAUUUUAAUUUGAAUUUUUGGUUUUUAUUGCGUUUUUAAGUUUUGUGGAUCGAAUUAGAUUAGUACCUAAUUAGACGAAGGUUAUUUUUUUCAGGAGUAAAGUAGAAUUUAAACUGAAAUAAUAUUGGCAGAUUUUCUAAAUUAUCUUUGGAGGUUGAGUGGUAAUUGAGAACCCCCAUUGACUGCUCUUUUUAUUGGCUCAUGUAUGAUCGUUUAUUUUAUGCUUAAGGUUUUGAAUUAAAUUUUUUUUUGAUUUAAAAAUAGAUAUAUAUUUGGUGUAUGAAUUGAGUUUACUUGACCUACAAUUUUUUAUAUAUUGGAUUUUUGUUUAGUGAGAAUUGAAAUUGUAAAAGACAGUAAAAAAAUCUUGAUGUUUUUUUGAAGAGUAUUUAGGAAUGGUACAAAUCAUCCAUCAAUUGCCCAAAGGGGAGUAAGUUGUAGUAAAGUAGAUUUAGGGGAACCUGAAUCUAGUAAUUGA
Molecule: non-coding RNA, 697 nt
Filed under: Parafilaroides normani
Lineage: Eukaryota; Metazoa; Nematoda; Chromadorea; Rhabditida; Filaroididae
Source: RNAcentral